GCCAGGUGCAGUGGUGCAAGCCUGUAAUCCCAGCUGCUCUGGAGGCUGAGGCAGGAGGAUCAUGAGUUCAAAGCUAGCCUUAGCAAUGGCUAAGCAAGUCAGUGAGACCCUGUCUCUA
This 118-nucleotide small RNA is filed under the name Marmota monax (woodchuck). Lineage: Eukaryota; Metazoa; Chordata; Mammalia; Rodentia; Sciuridae. The record is from RNAcentral.